Long non-coding RNA from Astatotilapia calliptera (eastern happy), 1004 nucleotides. NCBI's taxonomy places the organism in Eukaryota, Metazoa, Chordata, Actinopteri, Cichliformes, Cichlidae. The record is from Ensembl.
GAAGAGAAUAGUUUUUUUAAAUCAGGUUGUAAAUGUGCUUCUUUUUGCUGUAGAGUGUUUCAACAUGGGAGUCUUUGUGAAACAACUCAAAGUGUGACAGCAGCAGUAGCGCUUUUAUCUGCAUGCUUGUGUGUGCACUUUAGCUCAGUGUGUCCCUUGUCAGGAGGGGUGAGUGUUUAACAAAUGACUGCCAACCCGGGGACACAGGGGCCAGGGACCUCUGUUAGGGAGUCGGCCAACAAUAAAUCUCAAAAAUCAAUAUGACAGGGCCUGGAGUAAUCAGUAUCAAUGAUUUUAAACCGGAAUAAGUCCCUUGGGGUGAAGAAUGAUAAAAUUCUCUGAGUUCAAAGUCUGAAAAAACAUCCUGAAGGAUGGAAAUGAAGGAUGGAGAAGAGGAAGAAAAAAAGGAGGAAAGAGAGAGAGAGAGAUUAUUGAUGCUUUUUACCCAGAAGGCCUUGCAGCAGGGUUAGGAUCUCUGUUCUGUUUUCUCUGUUUGUGCCUUUUUCCCUUCUUUCCUCCUCUUACUUUUCAUCCGUCACUCUUCUGCUGUCUCAUCUGGUCGUCUUCACUCUUACCUACUCUUCCUUUCAUGCUUUCUUACUCUAAAUCUUUGCAGCUCUUUCUCUGGUUUUGUCUUUAGCGACUCCAUCGCUGCUUUUUUUUUUCUUUUUUUUGUAGUCUGUUCCACUUUUUCUGCCCCACAGGAUUUAGUUUUGAUUGAUAGUGAGUUUUUCUCUCCUUUUCCGCCUUCUAGUUUACUUUUAAUGAUCCAUUAGGAGACGAAAUCUACAGAUCAAAUUUCAAAAUGGAACUUGUGACUUAUUAAAAUCCUAUUUCGUCAUUCAGGAGAUAAAAUAUGUGUUGAGAAAAACACCAACAUGAUAAAGCCAAUUACAGAACUGUUGCAUGAAAUAUUUACACUCAUUCUUGUAAAAUUAGACUAUAACAAAACAUCAGAUUUAAGGAGGUCUUAAAUCUCUGUGGACACGUCUGCCCAAUACUAA